UACGUAGGGUGCAAGCGUUAAUCGGAAUUACUGGGCGUAAAGCGUGCGCAGGCGGUUUUUCAAGACAGAUGUGAAAUCCCCGGGCUUAACCUGGGAAUUGCAUUUGUGACUGCACGGCUAGAGUGUGUCAGAGGGGGGUAGAAUUCCACGUGUAGCAGUGAAAUGCGUAGAUAUGUGGAGGAAUACCGAUGGCGAAGGCAGCCCCCUGGGGUAACACUGACGCUCAUGCACGAAAGCGUGGGGAGCAAACAGG
This 253-nucleotide ribosomal RNA is filed under the name uncultured bacterium. RNAcentral's name for it is "partial 16S ribosomal RNA". It matches the Rfam family "Bacterial small subunit ribosomal RNA", at positions 524 to 776 of the family's 1533-position model. The record is from RNAcentral.